GAGAAGUGUGUUGCAUAAGGGGCGGUAGUGCGUAGGCUGGGGUUGUUGUACGGAGGUACUGUGGGUAAAGUGCUCGUUGGUGGUUUGUUGCGUUGUUCGUGAAAACUCACAGCUGAGCGGGUGGCGGGCGGGCGAUACGGGCAGACUAGAGUACUGCAGGGGAGACUGGAAUUCCUGGUGUAGCGGUGGAAUGCGCAGAUAUCAGGAGGAACACCGGUGGCGAAGGCGGGUCUCUGGGCAGUAACUGACGCUGAGGAGCGAAAGCGUGGGGAGCGAACAGGAUUAGAUACCCUAGUAGUC
Molecule: ribosomal RNA, 300 nt
Filed under: uncultured Sulfurimonas sp.
Lineage: Bacteria; Pseudomonadati; Campylobacterota; Epsilonproteobacteria; Campylobacterales; Sulfurimonadaceae
Description: bacterial SSU rRNA
Rfam family: Bacterial small subunit ribosomal RNA (bases 57-300)
Source: RNAcentral